GGUCAAACGACGACACAUCCUAUCGUUCUUGGAUCAGAUCAAAUAUUGCAGUCGUGGUCCAUCGGCUGCAUCAUGGGAAAGUGCACUAAGCAAGUUCACGCGCUGUUGCUACUUCUUCUCGUAUGCUUCGCUAUUCAUGGGCAGUUUGAAGCCAUCGGUGUCAAUGGCGAGCGUAUUCCUCCGUGGUGCACAAAGAGUGCAACUAUACCAAUCUGCAACCCAGAUAAAUAUAGAUGCUAUUGUUGUGUUCAAAAUUGGCAAUGCUACAAAACAAUGGAUGAGUGCAGAGCCAAGUGUGCAUAUUUACCUCCCUCCUCUUCCUCUGUACUUCCAUGAAACCGGGUUCUUAUCAUGAGCUAGAAGAAAAAUGAAUAAGAUCCAGACAAUAAACAAUUUGCUAUGAA
Molecule: long non-coding RNA, 404 nt
Organism: Aegilops tauschii subsp. strangulata
Lineage: Eukaryota; Viridiplantae; Streptophyta; Magnoliopsida; Poales; Poaceae
Source: RefSeq, a predicted model, not a curated record